UCCGAGUUGUCCCCGGCAGUCUCCUUAGAGUCCCCGGCAUUACCCGCUGGCAACUAAGGACAGGGGUUGCGCUCGUUGCGGCACUUAAGCCAACACCUCACGGCACGAGCUGACGACAGCCAUGCAGCACCUGUGCUGGCCCCUUACGGAGCCCUGCUUUCACAGGGUUUAACCAGCAUGUCAAGCCCAGGUAAGGUUCUUCGCGUUGCAUCGAAUUAAGCCACAUGCUCCGCCGCUUGUGCGGGUCCCCGUCAAUUCCUUUGAGUUUUAGCCUUGCGGCCGUACUCCCCAGGCGGAGUGCUUAAUGCGUUAGCUGCGGCACAGAGAGGGUUGAAGACCUCCCCACACCUAGCACUCAACGUUUACGGCUGGGACUAC
Molecule: unclassified non-coding RNA, 378 nt
Filed under: uncultured Actinomycetes bacterium
Lineage: Bacteria; Bacillati; Actinomycetota; Actinomycetes
Description: uncultured actinobacterium contains 16S-23S intergenic spacer region
Source: RNAcentral